AAGUAUGAAGUAAAAAAUUACAUUUAGUUUCGACCUAAAAAUUGGGAUUUAUAUCCCCUUACUUU
RNAcentral lists this transfer RNA (65 nucleotides) under Henestaris halophilus. Its description in RNAcentral is "tRNA-Arg". Lineage: Eukaryota; Metazoa; Arthropoda; Insecta; Hemiptera; Lygaeidae. The record is from RNAcentral.